Molecule: small RNA, 1758 nt
Filed under: Pan troglodytes (chimpanzee)
Lineage: Eukaryota; Metazoa; Chordata; Mammalia; Primates; Hominidae
Description: processed transcript
Source: RNAcentral
UGAACACGUGGAGGCAAACAGGAAGGUGAAGAAGAACUUAUCCUAUCAGGACGGAAGAUCCUGUGCUCGGGAUCUUCCAGACGUCGCUGCUUACUUCACCCAGGGCUAGGGGUAGCAGGUGCUCCCUGGAACUUGGCAAACAUCCUCAUAUUGGGAGGAGCUUGGCUGGUUUUCCUUGAUCUCCCUCUUCCCAGUGUGUGGCUCUUGACAACUGAUUGGACCCCAGACUUAAGCUCUGCAGGCUACAUCUCAGGGUGUUUCCUGUGAAAGUUCCAGAAGAAAGCUGUAUGGUCAGCUUGGGGAAAUAUGUGGUUCAUGCUGGAAUGCUGGACAUACCACAUUAUUGGAAAGAUGCACAUUGAAUGACCGACAAAAUGAAACUCAACUUUCCAAAUGCUGGUAAUGAGAGAAGAUUCUGUUCUAAUGACCAGUUGUUUCCUGAAAGAAUGUCAGCUCGAUUCAUAAUGAAUGCAUUCUAACCAUGACAGCCACAGUCAGGACACAAAAAACAAAGUGUCCUUGAUCCCAGGAAACAGCCCUCUGGAGUCUGUGAAAUCUAGAAACUAGAUUGGGAAAACUCUGACACCCCUGCCCCAUGACCAACCAAGACUAAGAGUCCCAGGAAGAUUGAGGUCACAGAAGGCAGAGGCCUGCCCCCUCUCCAGGAGAUCCCUGACCCAUGUGGGGUCAUGGGCGGGGCAUGAGUGAUGUGAUGGGAAACUGGCUCCUGGCUCCAGGUAGAACGUGACCAACUGGAGCCUGACAGGAGGUCCCUGGCACUGGUCAGCCCAUCAAACCAGAAUGAUGACAGUAUGCAAUGACUCAGAAUCAUCACACUCACAGAGACUACUUUGUAUUUUUUCUUGCAAAUGAAGAGACAAUAUGCCCAAAAAAUGAGCUGAAAAUGGCUCAUGAAGGGAGGGAAGAUGACCUCCAGCACACCAGGGCAGAGUGGGGGCCACAUGAAGGUGCAAGAGUGGGAGGGAACCACAACGCCUUGGCAGAGAGGAGAGCAAGUGGGGGCCAAGCCACAAAGCUCUUCAAGGCCAGUCAACGGUGAAACCUGAAGGAGUCCCAUCCAUCCCCAAGUCUGCUUGAGUUAAAGCCCUGCACCCUCACAAGCAGCUGGAGGGAGGGGAGGAAAGAUAUUUUCAAAAGAGCCAUCAUAUAUGGGGUGUGGGAAAGAAAAACUUGCUGCGUCUAACACCAGAGAGCCUCUCCAAGCCAAGCCAUCUGCCUCAGGGCAAAGGAGGGAAUGGAAGCGGGAGAGAAGGGUUUGGAGCCAGCUCUCAGCAACAUGUUUCUAUCUGGAGAAAUGAGCUGAGAAGAUCUGAAUCUUCUCCAGUCUGUUCUGCAAAUGUGGGAUAAUCGGCCCCUGGCCCAAAGGCUGGUGCUCACAGCGUGGCUCUGGCAUUACCCAGGACUUUGGUUCUUGGUGAUGGGGAAGAGGACAAAUUUGGAAGCCAGAGAAGCUAGGGCUGGAUGGUCUGGAGGAAAACCUCCACUUCUCUCAGACUGUUUUUUCUGAGGAAACAGAUGAUUGCAACCUCAGAGGUUGGGAGGAUGAAAUGAUGUAAUGCAUCUGGAGCUGCUCUGUAAACUGUAAAAUGCUAUGCAAACAGUGCUUGUCAAUGUGUUUACAUAUAUGGGUGAGUUAACAUAGUCUGACAGACUGGACGCCAAACUCAGAGUCCAAGGCAAUGGGGCAUUAUAUUCUGUGCCUUAGCAUCUGGAAAACAUGAUGAAAUUGGAAAUGCA